This is a long non-coding RNA of Beta vulgaris subsp. vulgaris (sugar beet), 206 nucleotides long. RefSeq lists it as uncharacterized. Lineage: Eukaryota; Viridiplantae; Streptophyta; Magnoliopsida; Caryophyllales; Amaranthaceae. The transcript has 3 exons. The record is from RefSeq and is a predicted model, not a curated record.
AACGAAGUCUACCACUUUGAUUCUUUGCGUAAAGAAACACUGCGGUCCUUACUAGUCAAAUCAUUGUUAAAUAGUGUGAUGAAGGGGGUUAUUGCAUCUGGACUUCGACAACCAAAACCUCAUGUUUGGCAUUUAGUCGAGUGUCCGGUACAAGUAGGUGGACGGGUGUGUGGGUAUUACGUCAUGAGGUUCAUGCUCGAUAUCGU